This 630-nucleotide long non-coding RNA is filed under the name Rosa chinensis. RNAcentral's name for it is "sRNA RchiOBHm_Chr1g0370181". Lineage: Eukaryota; Viridiplantae; Streptophyta; Magnoliopsida; Rosales; Rosaceae. The record is from RNAcentral.
CUCUUAUGACCUCAAUUUUGCUAGGGUCGUCCAUCCAAGCUGAUUAUAUGUUGCUCAUUGUUAAGCUUCUUUUCUUGGACUUUCUUCCAAUGACUUUAUAAACUCAAGGAACAAUUUGGUGAUUCACAAUCAAUUGCAACUCGUCAUUGAGUUGAAGUAGUGGAAGUAGCGAGCAACUUGAUGUGUACAAUUAAACCAAAUUUCUUUCUAAAUAUUAAGCCGCUAACGUGCAAUAUAAGCACACAGUAUGAACAACAAUAUCUCAACUUGGCAAUAGUUGCUUAUCAUUUGUAUUAGACCAGUCGCAUCGGAAGUUCACUGAUAUAGCCAUCUUAUCAUUUUUAUGAAAGAGUAGGGUAGGCUGGUCACAUCGGAAGUGCACCGCUGUCUUUGAUAACAACCUCACUCUUAGGUAUCCCAUCCGAUCCUCCUACUCGUUCAACCUUGGACACAACGUCCAUUCCAGAAAGCACCUUACCAAAUACAACAUGGUGACCAUCCAACCUCUAGUUGUGACAGUCGUGAUGAAGAACUGUGAUCCAUUGGUGUCUUGGCCAGAAUUUGCCAUUGAUAAAUAACCUCUUGCCUGGUCCAGUGUGCUUAACUUUGAAGUUUUCAUCUGCAAAUUUU